RNAcentral lists this long non-coding RNA (2219 nucleotides) under Mus musculus (house mouse). RNAcentral describes it as "long non-coding RNA chrX:42105937-42108156". The record is from RNAcentral. Lineage: Eukaryota; Metazoa; Chordata; Mammalia; Rodentia; Muridae.
GGCCAGUUAACUUUUCUGGUGCCAAUGUGAACUUUAAAUGUUUUUAUUUUACCUGCUUUGUGGAUGAAAAAUAUUUCUGAGUGGUAGUUUUCUGACAGGUAGAUCAUGUCUUUUUAUCUUGUUUCAAAAUAACUAUUUCUGAUUUUGUAAAAUGAAAUAUAAAAUAUGUCUCAGAUCUUCCAAUUAAUUAGUAAGGAUUCACCCUUAAUCCUUGCUAGUUGAAGCCUGCCUAAGUCACUUUACUAAAAGAUCUUUGUUAACCCAGUAUUGUAACCAUCUGUCCGCUUACGUAGGUAAAUGUAGACGCCUGGUGUAUAUGGCUUGUAGUUUUAGUGUUGGCUCUCCGUGUUGAGAUUCUUUCUCAGUGUCAUUCUGUGUCCUACAAGUUUCAUGUAGGUUUCGAUGUUAGGAUGGUUAAGAUGUAUAUAGUACAAAAUGUUCAGUCUUUGAUUGUUUUAUGUUUGUUUGUUUUCAUGACUAGUAAUGGUAGUGGAUACUUUAAAAAUAUUUUCUGAAGAUCCUUAAAACCUUGGAAAUUGUAACAUACUGAGAAGAGUGGUUGUUUGAAUAUUUUUAACAACUUGUAUAAGUCAAUAUGAAUACAAUCAAAAGCUAAAGUGCUUCAUAGAACACGGGAUUUACCUUAAGUAAUUAUCAUGAGAGACCUCUUGUAAAGACUGGUCUAUUUUACUACAGAGAACAGUUUGAGAGUGAAACUGUUACAAUUUAGACUUUUUGUUGUAUUUUCUAAGAGAAAGAGUAUUGUUAGGUUCUCCUAACCUCUGUUGACUACUAUGGUAAGUGAUGUUAUUUUAAUUGCAAAUUUAAAUAGAAACCAACAGAAUUAAGUAACUGACUGUCUCUCUCUCUCUCUCUCUCUCUGUCUUCUUCAUGAAAAUCCUUAGUUCUGUAUACUGCCUUCUGCUUAGAUUUAGUUAUAUGAUCAUUAGGUUACAUUUGAUCUAAGUUGACUAAGAUUUCAAUUUCAAUUUAUAUUUCAAGCAUUCUGCCAGGGAAUAGUUUUAAAAAUUGUUUCCAAGGCACUUCAGGUACAAGUCAUAUAGGUAGUUUGUUUAAUCUAGUCCUUAGCCUAGGACUCAAGGACUGAAUGUUUUCAAAUAACACUUUUCUUGUUCUCAGAGCCUCAGUUCAUUAAAACUCUUUUAAAACCUGUGUGCUGAGAGUUAAGCAAGACCUCUUUUCUUGUCUUCAUGAGUUGCGAAAUUGAAUUCAUGGAGCUGAUGUGGCUAACAAGUUUAUUUUAGGAAUUGUUUAGAAAAUGCUGUUGCUUCGGGUUCUUAAAAUCACAGCACUCCAACUCUAAUCAAAUUAUUGGAGACUUAGCAGAGCUGGUCUGAAAUCACACUAAAAAAAAAAAGGUACUGGAUCCUUUCCAGUAUGGUUGUGUAAAAAAUGGUCACUCGGAAGGUCACAGAAUAACCGGCUCUGAAUCACCACCCCUGAGAGAGUUCAGUGUCUGCGUGCUGAUGGUCUUUUGCUGUAUAAAGUUCAUUCUAGAAUUUUGAAGUAACCACCCGUUUUACUACAUAUUAGUCAUGUGAAUUUUGAAGUUAUUUUGUAAUAGUUACUUUCAUUUGUUAUUUACUGUGUUGAUCAAGAUGUGUGUGAGUGUUUAGCAUUUAUUAAAGUAUUGUCUUUCCUCCUAGACUUUUGCCUCUUCCUGUAGUUAGGGGUAGAGGUGAGGUGAGUGGAGUGACUACAAUGUGAUUCGCUGGGGUAGGACAGUUUGUUGUCUUGUUAGUCACAGUGUGUUGCUCUGUUUUUUAUUUUAGUAAGAUUUAUAUUUUGAGCUCUCUGAAUGGAAAGUGCCACUGCAACCUUAGCUGCAUGCAUUGUUCCCAUUAGACCUAAGUCUUCCUGGACUUCUGAGUCCCCAGAUACUGGAUAAAGGAAGAGGAGAGAUGGAGUAGCCUGUCUGUCACUGCUAUGAGAGAAGCAAGAAAGUGGGUAGAGAAAUACUUCACAUUUUAGUCACAUCUUCUCUUUUUAAAAAGGUAGCCAUCAGUGAAGGAAAGAACUAGUCAAAAAUAGGCUUGACAACCUGAAUUCAGAUCCCCAGAACGGGCAUAAAAGCAGCCAGGUCAUGGUUAGUGCACUCCUUUAAUCCCAGCAUUUGGGAGGCAGGGGUAGACAUAUCUGGGUUUGAAGCCAGCCUGAUCUACAGAGUGAGUUCCAGGACAGGGAACCCUGUCUUAUUC